Molecule: non-coding RNA, 31 nt
Filed under: Rattus norvegicus (Norway rat)
Lineage: Eukaryota; Metazoa; Chordata; Mammalia; Rodentia; Muridae
Source: RNAcentral
UACCAAUGACUUGUAGGAAGAUUUUUGAGGU